UGAGACACGGCCCAGACUCCUACGGGAGGCAGCAGUAGGGAAUCUUGCGCAAUGGGCGAAAGCCUGACGCAGCCAUGCCGCGUGAAUGAUGAAGGUCUUAGGAUUGUAAAAUUCUUUCACCGGGGACGAUAAUGACGGUACCCGGAGAAGAAGCCCCGGCUAACUUCGUGCCAGCAGCCGCGGUAAUACGAAGGGGGCUAGCGUUGCUCGGAAUUACUGGGCGUAAAGGGAGCGUAGGCGGAUAGUUUAGUCAGAGGUGAAAGCCCAGGGCUCAACCUUGGAAUUGCCUUUGAUACUGGCUAUCUUGAGUAUGGAAGAGGUAUGUGGAACUCCGAGUGUAGAGGUGAAAUUCGUAGAUAUUCGGAAGAACACCAGUGGCGAAGGCGACAUACUGGUCCAUUACUGACGCUGAGGCUCGAAAGCGUGGGGAGCAAACAGGAUUAGAUACCCUGGUAGUCCACGCCGUAAACGAUGAGUGCUAGUUGUCGGCAUGCAUGCAUGUCGGUGACGCAGCUAA
Molecule: ribosomal RNA, 517 nt
Filed under: Phenylobacterium sp.
Lineage: Bacteria; Pseudomonadati; Pseudomonadota; Alphaproteobacteria; Caulobacterales; Caulobacteraceae
Description: bacterial SSU rRNA
Rfam family: Bacterial small subunit ribosomal RNA
Source: RNAcentral